GUCCAGUGGCGCAAUCGGUCAGCGCGCAGUACUUAUAAGCACAGUAUCUGAGAAAUGCUGAGGUUGUGAGUUCGAGCCUCACCUGGAACA
Molecule: transfer RNA, 90 nt
Filed under: Gasterosteus aculeatus (three-spined stickleback)
Lineage: Eukaryota; Metazoa; Chordata; Actinopteri; Perciformes; Gasterosteidae
Rfam family: tRNA
About the family: Transfer RNA (tRNA) molecules are approximately 80 nucleotides in length.
Source: Rfam by way of RNAcentral